CCACCGCGGUUAGACGAGAGGCCCUAGUUGAUAUUUUAACGGCGUAAAGGGUGGUUAAGGGUAAAUAAAAAUAAAGCCAAAUGGCCCCUCGGCCGUCAUACGCUUCUAGGUGUCCGAAGCCCUAACACGAAAGUAGCUUUAAUAAAUUAGCCUGAACCCACGAAAGCUGAGAAACAAACUGGGAUUAGAUACCCCACUAUGCUCAGCCGUAAACUUAGACAUCCAACUACAAUUAGAUGUCCGCCAGGGUACUACGAGCAUUAGCUUAAAACCCAAAGGACUUGACGGUGUCUCAGAUCCCCCUAGAGGAGCCUGUUCUAGAACCGAUAACCCCCGUUUAACCUCACCACUCCUAGCCAUCCCAGCCUAUAUACCGCCGUCGUCAGCUUACCCUGUGAAGGGUACAAAAGUAAGCAAAAUGGGCACAGCCCAGAACGUCAGGUCGAGGUGUAGCGCAUGAAGUGGAAAGAAAUGGGCUACAUUUUCUAACACAGAAUAUUACGAACAUGUACCAUGAAAUAGUGCUUGAAGGAGGAUUUAGUAGUAAAGGGGAAAUAGAGUGUCCCUUUGAACCCGGCUCUGAGACGCGUACACACCGCCCGUCACUCUCCCCUGUCAAAACGCAUUAAAAAUACUUAAUACAAAAGCACUGACAAGGGGAGGCAAGUCGUAACACG
This 677-nucleotide ribosomal RNA is filed under the name Mystacoleucus atridorsalis. Its description in RNAcentral is "partial 12S ribosomal RNA". It matches the Rfam family "Bacterial small subunit ribosomal RNA", at positions 512 to 1495 of the family's 1533-position model. The record is from RNAcentral. Lineage: Eukaryota; Metazoa; Chordata; Actinopteri; Cypriniformes; Cyprinidae.